This 347-nucleotide ribosomal RNA is filed under the name uncultured bacterium. RNAcentral's name for it is "bacterial SSU rRNA". It matches the Rfam family "Bacterial small subunit ribosomal RNA", at positions 8 to 334 of the family's 1533-position model. The record is from RNAcentral.
AGGGUUUGAUUAUGGCUCAGGACGAACGCUGGCGGCGCGCCUAACACAUGCAAGUCGAACGGAGCUUGCUUAUUUGAUUCUUUCGGGAUGACGAUUUGUAAGCUUAGUGGCGAACGGGUGAGUAACACGUGAGUAACCUGCCCCAGAGUGGGGGACAACAGUUGGAAACGACUGCUAAUACCGCAUAAGCCCACGGAACCGCAUGGUUCAGAGGGAAAAGGAGCAAUUCGCUUUGGGAUGGACUCGCGUCCGAUUAGCUAGAUGGUGAGGUAACGGCCCACCAUGGCGACGAUCGGUAGCCGGACUGAGAGGUUGAUCGGCCACAUUGGGACUGAGACACGGCCCAG